This is a long non-coding RNA of Epinephelus fuscoguttatus (brown-marbled grouper), 707 nucleotides long. RefSeq lists it as uncharacterized. The transcript is spliced from 3 exons. The record is from RefSeq and is a predicted model, not a curated record. NCBI's taxonomy places the organism in Eukaryota, Metazoa, Chordata, Actinopteri, Perciformes, Serranidae.
CUUUAUUGUGCAUCUAAAGCUGAAGCUGACAUCUUAGUUUACUCAUCGAGUUAUUUGAAAAUGGCAAGUAAAGUGGAUGAUAAUACCAGGCCCCUGAAAGGGAAGCUGGAGGUGAAGCUCAGUUCUAUUUUACUCCAGUCCAGUAGGGGGCGGUAAUCUUCUUAUUAGUUGGCUUCCAACCGCCGAUAUAAAAAAGCGAGGGAAGCAGGACCAACUGCAGUCACUUGGUUGCUGUCUGCUGCGACUGAAACGUCAUCGGUGAAACUGGUCACAAGUGGAGCCACGCCUAGACUGGACUCUACUACAAACAAAGUGUUAAGAAGAGAAGCCACUCAUACAGGAUUUGCAUCAGGUUUGUGUUUUAACGCUUCAUCUCUUGGCUUUUAGUAGCAGACACUGUGAAUGGUGAUCUCUUGUGAUGGAUAGCACUGGGCUCAGAAAAUCAGUGGUGACAGAAGUGCAUCUCUGCCCUUGACAAGGCAGAGUCUGAUGAGACGAUGGCUACUUUUUUUUUUUUUUAAAACCUUGUAUGAUUGUGACUAUUCUGACUGCUCUUUGCUUCUGUUACAGGUACUGGUCCUCCCACAGACAUCACCUGCUUUUAUAACCAUUUUAUGUUUCAGUGUUUUUUUUUGUUUGUUUUUUUUGUUAAUUUUCAAAGCUUAAUAUUCUGUAUUUGCUCUGAUUAAAUCAAAUAAAACUCUGCA